Molecule: ribosomal RNA, 1512 nt
Filed under: Steromphala umbilicaris
Lineage: Eukaryota; Metazoa; Mollusca; Gastropoda; Trochida; Trochidae
Description: 16S ribosomal RNA
Rfam family: Archaeal large subunit ribosomal RNA (bases 713-1396)
Source: RNAcentral
CUAAAAAUGAUUGGAUAAUAUAUAGUAGUUUAGCUAAUAAUGUAAAAAGAAACGUCUAAAUUUGUUAGUUAUGGAGAAUGAAACCUGUAUUAAUGUGCAAAAUUGAAUAAGUACUGUGAAGGAAUAAACUAAUAUAAGUAGUAUUGUAGUUGAGAUUGACUCUUGUACCUUUUGUAUCAUGGUUCUUUUAGAUUAAUAGUUUUGAUUAACUGUCCCGAAAAAGACUGAGUUAUUUUUUGGCUUGGCGUCGACGUAGUAAAGUCGUGCUUAGAUUAAAAAAUAGGGGUGAAAUGCUUUUCGAAGUUUUUGAUAGCUGGUUAACCAAAAAAAGCAUUAAAGUGCUGGAAACUUGUUUGUAUUUUUGUUUUACGCAGUAGGAUAAAGAAUAUAAGGUAACCUUAAAUAAAAAAGGAUAAGCUUUUUUAUUAUAUAAGAAAACAUAGUUAAAAAUGUUAAUUAAAUUUAAUGGGCUUAGAGUUAGCCAAUUGAUAGUAAAUUUGUUAUAAAUUAAUUUAAUUUUAGUUUUAAAGAUUGUUGAAUUAAAGUUUUCUAUUUUGUGUAUAGAGGAGAUUGGUUUUAUCAUUUAGGUUAUUUUAAAUGAUGAAUUUCUGGAGAAAUGAGUAUUUAUUUUAAGUGUAUUUCAGUAAGGUGUAUAAAAGUAAGUCUGUGAUUGAUUUAAUAAAAAUUUAUAUUUUAUUUGUAUAUUAAAAUUUUAAAUGUAAUAAAUUUUAGAAAAGGAAUUCGGCAAAUAAUAGCUUCGCCUGUUUAUCAAAAACAUGUCUCUUUGGAAAUAAGUAUAUAAAGAGUCGAACCUGCCCGGUGACUAUAUUGUUAAACGGCCGCGGUACCCUAACCGUGCAAAGGUAGCAUAAUCAUUUGCCUUUUAAUUGGAGGCUGGUAUGAAUGGUUUGACGAGAGCUAUGCUGUCUCUUUUAAAAUAUUUAAAAAUUAACUUUUAGGUGAAGAGGCCUAAAUUUAUUUAAGGGACAAGAAGACCCUGUUGAGCUUUAGUGAUGUUGUAAACGAUGAAGAAUAAGUUAUUAUUGAUUUGUUGUGUAUUUAUUAUAAUAAAAGUUUGCAGAUAAUCUUUAGUUGGGGCGACUGAGGAACAUAAAAAGCUUCCUUGUAUAUAAAUUAUUUAAGUAAUUGAAUAAAUUAAUGCUUAUGUGUUAUUUUGAUCCAAAUUAUUUUGAUUAAGAGAAAAAGUUACCACAGGGAUAACAGCGUAAUCUUUCUGGAGAGAUCUUAUCGAAAGAAGGGUUUGCGACCUCGAUGUUGGACUAAGAUAUCCUAAGGGUGUAGAAGUUCUUAAAGGUUGGUCUGUUCGACCAUUAAAAUCUUACAUGAUCUGAGUUCAGACCGGCGUGAGCCAGGUUGGUUUCUAUCUUUAAAUAAAAAUAAUCCUUUGGCUAGUACGAAAGGACCGUUGUAAGGUAAUAAAAUUAUUAAGCUUAGAAUUAAUUUAAGUUAAUUUUAAAUUUUAAAAUAUUGCGAGUUUUAAGAAGUUGAGUU